Molecule: transfer RNA, 73 nt
Filed under: Haloplasma contractile SSD-17B
Lineage: Bacteria; Bacillati; Mycoplasmatota; Mollicutes; Haloplasmatales; Haloplasmataceae
Rfam family: tRNA
About the family: Transfer RNA (tRNA) molecules are approximately 80 nucleotides in length.
Source: Rfam by way of RNAcentral
GGCUUGGUAGCUCAGUCGGUAGAGCAAAGGACUGAAAAUCCUUGUGUCCGCGGUUCGAUUCCGUGCCAAGCCA